This 230-nucleotide ribosomal RNA is filed under the name uncultured Alicycliphilus sp. RNAcentral describes it as "partial 16S ribosomal RNA". It matches the Rfam family "Bacterial small subunit ribosomal RNA", at positions 548 to 774 of the family's 1533-position model. The record is from RNAcentral. Lineage: Bacteria; Pseudomonadati; Pseudomonadota; Betaproteobacteria; Burkholderiales; Comamonadaceae.
AGAGAUGCACUGGGUUUAAAGCGUGCGCAGGCGGUUUUGUAAGACAGAGGUGAAAUCCCCGGGCUCAACCUGGGAACUGCCUUUGUGACUGCAAGGCUGGAGUGCGGCAGAGGGAGAUGGAAUUCCGCGUGUAGCAGUGAAAUGCGUAGAUAUGCGGAGGAACACCGAUGGCGAAGGCAAUCCCCUGGGCCUGCACUGACGCUCAUGCACGAAAGCGUGGGGAGCAAACA